AGGUAUUAGGGUUGUUUAAUCAAGGAAGGAAAUGCAUCAACUGUUUGAUCACACAACUCCUAUAACCUAAUGCAUCAUUCAAGGUGAUAAAUUUUUGUAAACAUCAAGGAAAGAGGUGAAUGCACCGGGGCUUGCCUAGGAUAAACACUACGUUAGUGUUGUUAGAGACAUCUGGUUGGCGAACAUCGAAAAUCCUGGUACGGUCAAUCCAUUCAUCUUCUGUCGACAUAGUCACUGAGAUAUCGUCGGUCCAUGCCCUUCAUCUCGCACGAUCAUUAGCGUACCUACAUGAUAUGCGAGAUGCACAUGAAUGGAUAGGAGCAUAGAUAGCACAUCAACUAAAUCAAGAACCACACCACUUGUUCUAAUAAAUAGGGCCUUGUCAAACAACAUAAGAGUUUUCCCAAGAUCAUAAUUUAAACCCUACAGAUUUAAAAUACUAAGGUGGAAUGUCUACUAUGUAAUUUCCAUAUUCCUUUGAAGGGGACUUAAGGGUAAUACAUGCUUUCAACUAAUUGAGUAACGAUGAAUAUUUAUUCAAGACGAUUAGGUUAAGCAGUCAAGCUCCAUUUAUGACUUUUAAUCAAUCAACAAAUAUAACACCCGACAAUUACUAAGGCAAGACAAUAAUGAAAUGAUAAAAUCAGUACAAAUAACUCUAGGCGAAUAUGUUUAGCUAACUGAUUGAAUUACCAAACUUAUUCUAUAUAUUCACUAAAACACUUGUAGCAUAAUAAGCACGUCAAACUUAAAACCACAAGAACUAACCAAUCCUAGUGACCUACACAAAAGAAUUUCCAAACAAACAUUUUAAUACUUGCUGAUUUUGGACAUCAAGACAACAACUAUUUGUUUAGCUCAUAACUCACAAGAUAUUCAUCCUAAAAUAGUAAACUAGGACUUUCUGGAAAGCUUAUGAAGUUCUCUACAACUUUGGUAUUACCAUCAGAACAAGAUUCAACAUUUAGAAAUGUCAAAUAGUGCUAAACGUAAAUUCUGUCUAGAUUUGGACAGAAUUCGACUACUCACUUCAAAAAUUCAUAACUGGAGUCUCGAGAAUCUAAUUCAGGUGAUCCUAGACUUUUUCGAAAGCUAAUAGAAUUGUAUACAAUUCAUUUAUAAAUAUCUCAGGUUAAUUCAAUACAUAUCAAGGUCAAAAGACAUGAGAAAAGCUCUGCUGUCCAAAUUUAAACAGAUUCAGAGUUCACACUUCAAACAACUGUAACUUAACUUAUAGAUCAUCAAAAAGGGUGAUCCAAGACUUUUUAGAAAGAUUAAAAACAGUACUACAAUUCUUCUAUAAUUACUAAGGGUUGAUUCUCAGUUUAAUUUAGUCAAACAAGGCAAUUUUCGAAAUCAGUACAAAAUUUGGACAGAUUCAGGUACUGGACUUUGAAAAAUCAUAACUCUUAAACUACUAAACCUAUGGUCAUAAAAUGUUUACACAAAUAAGAUAAAGAAGUUGGCUACAACUUCUGUAUAUAACAUUUCUACAGAAAAUAUGGUUUACUUCAUGGAACUAGCUGCAUAACUAAAACUGUACAUGCAGCCCUAAACAGUAAUACAUUCAAUUUAACUCCUAUUUGGCUUCUAGAAUUAUCAUGUUCUUGACGCUUACUAACGCAAGGAAUUAAUGUUACUACACAAUUGAAAUUCAGAUAAAUAACACUAAUAGUUCUUAUCGGCUAGACAAUUUAAAAUGCUAAUCCUACUUCUCGCAUUAUUAAUUAAAUCUCACCUAGCACACAAGUCUAACAACACAUGACGCGACUACUGCAUAUUCAUGAAAACAAUCACAACACCAUAUGAGAGGAAACAUUUCUGCAACACAUUAUGAGCAACAUAUAACCCAAAGGAAAAGAGAAAGAUAUCCUUCCCUGAGCAUUGCCACAGUAUAACUAACCAAUCCAACUAAUAGUAAAAACAAAUCAGCUCACCAUAAUCGAAUCGACUCGAUAUAUGCAAGAACGGCGACAGUUCCUUGGUUCUAUUUCGUCGAACACCUAGAGCGCACCGAACUGAAACAUAUUUCCUUCAUCGAUUCAGUCACUUCAUCGAACAUAAGGGAUGCAAGCUAGCAGAGACAGCGGGGGGCUCACCGGCAUGGACGACGUCGUGGC
This 2120-nucleotide long non-coding RNA is filed under the name Zea mays. RNAcentral's name for it is "long non-coding RNA (ZMAY_LNC001704)". The record is from RNAcentral. Lineage: Eukaryota; Viridiplantae; Streptophyta; Magnoliopsida; Poales; Poaceae.